Long non-coding RNA from Perognathus longimembris pacificus (Pacific pocket mouse), 1204 nucleotides. RefSeq lists it as uncharacterized. The transcript has 4 exons. NCBI's taxonomy places the organism in Eukaryota, Metazoa, Chordata, Mammalia, Rodentia, Heteromyidae. The record is from RefSeq and is a predicted model, not a curated record.
GUGGGCGGAUGUGGUCACUGACCAGUGCACUGGACUGUGGGUCACUGAGCUUUUCACCCUGCCACGCUAUUACCAGUGUGAUCCAGUCUGUCACCCUCGCCUCCCUGGGGGCUCUGCAGUUCACAGAACAUGGUUUGGAAAUGAACUGUUCUUAGCCAGAGCCCUAAAAUAGGAGCUGAAAUGGCCCACAGAGACCAUCUGGUCUUGUUCCCUUCACUACCACGCAGAGACGCCAGCUUCUGUGCUGGCGAAUCCUUCCACACACUGAUGCGCUCCAAGAGCUUGGAGGAAAUGAUGGUACUAAGAAGAAAGCAGAGGCUGACAAUGGGAUCAAAAAUAUCUCCCAGCGGUGUGUCACUUUCACUAGAGUGACCAAGGAAGCCCUCUUUCCAGGAAAAAGGUGGCUCCUGGGCUUCAUGCUUGGCAGAGUCACCCUGAGUCUCUUCACCUCCUAUCCCUACUAGGUGUGUCCUCAGAGUCUGUUUUGAGUCCAAGUCCAGAACCCAAAGCAUGCAUCCUUUCCAUGUCUGCCAACCAGCCAGAUGGGGAGCACCUGCCGAGUCAGCAGGUUAGUGCAGGCCCUUCCUGGGGUGGGAGUUGGGGGACAAGCUCCCUCCACCAGCCUAGGUUGCCUUGUUCAAGUAAAAUAUUGAUUCCCACCCACUGCAAGGCAUUUGAUUCUUGGGAGUUUGUGAGAGAUUCUACAGUUUGCCCAGCUCUGUUGUGGAAUUCUUCUUGCAAAGGCAAUGGAACAGAGGGAGUGGGGGGAGGAGGGCAACCCUGAAUGAACUGAUGUUUGGAAGACUGAGAUAUCAAGUUGAGAAUGUUCCCAGGGAAAAACCCGGCCUCUUCCAGCACUCUGCCCAGCUCAGCAAAGACUGCCUUGUCAUCUGGCUGGCAAGGUUUCUGUAUUUCUUUCCUAUUACAGACCAGAAAUAAAUACAAGGACUAUCACUGUGAGUUGGUGUUAUCUCCUCCCCUUCUGCCUCCCCCCUCCCCACCCCCCAAUGACCUAUCCUUAAGUGAAAAGAGCAAGAAAACCUAUUCCUAUCUUUUGGCUCCUGAAUCCACUUCUGGUGAUUUGUCCUAAAUAAAUAUGUCCAAAGAUUGUUUUAAAACUUGGUUUAAAAGAAAAAUUGAUGGCGCUGGGAAUGUAACUUAGUGGUAGAGUGCUUGCCUAGCAUGCAUGAAGCCCUGGGUUCAA